This 550-nucleotide ribosomal RNA is filed under the name uncultured bacterium. Its description in RNAcentral is "bacterial SSU rRNA". It matches the Rfam family "Bacterial small subunit ribosomal RNA", at positions 8 to 547 of the family's 1533-position model. The record is from RNAcentral.
AGAGUUUGAUCCUGGCUCAGGAUGAACGCUAGCGGCAGGCUUAAUACAUGCAAGUCGUGGGGCAGCAGGGGCGUAGCAAUACGUUCGCUGGCGACCGGCAAACGGGUGCGGAACACGUACACAACCUUCCUUAAAGUGGGGGAUAGCCCGGGGAAACCCGGAUUAAUACCCCGUAACAUAGUGAAGUGGCAUCGCUUUACUAUUAUAGCAGCAAUGCGCUUAAAGAUGGGUGUGCGACUGAUUAGGCAGUUGGCGGGGUAACGGCCCACCAAACCUACGAUCAGUAACUGGUGUGAGAGCACGACCAGUCACACGGGCACUGAGACACGGGCCCGACUCCUACGGGAGGCAGCAGUAAGGAAUAUUGGUCAAUGGACGCAAGUCUGAACCAGCCAUGCCGCGUGGAGGAUGAAGGUCCUCUGGAUUGUAAACUUCUUUUACCUGGGAAGAAAUCCACAAAUUCUUUUGUGGUUGACGGUACCAGGUGAAUAAGCACCGGCUAGCUCCGUGCCAGCAGCCGCGGUAAUACGGAGGGUGCAAGCGUUAUCCG